UACGGGAGGCAGCAGUGGGGAAUAUUGCACAAUGGGCGCAAGCCUGAUGCAGCCAUGCCGCGUGUAUGAAAAAGGCCUUCGGGUUGUAAAGUACUUUCAGUCGUGAGGAAGGUGUUAAGGUUAAUAACCUUAGCAAUUGACGUUAGCGACAGAAGAAGCACCGGCUAACUCCGUGCCAGCAGCCGCGGUAAUACGGAGGGUGCGAGCGUUAAUCGGAAUUACUGGGCUAAAGGGCACGCAGGCGGUUAAUUAAGUUGGAUGUGAAAUCCCCGGGCUUAACCUGGGAAUGGCAUUCAAGACUGGUUAGCUAGAGUCUUGUAGAGGGGGUAGAAUUCCAUGUGUAGCGGUGAAAUGCGUAGAGAUGUGGAGGAAUACCGGUGGCGAAGGCGGCCCCUGGACAAAGACUGACGCUCAUGUGCGAAAGCGUGGGGAGCGAAACAGGGAUUAGAUAC
This 452-nucleotide ribosomal RNA is filed under the name uncultured bacterium. RNAcentral's name for it is "bacterial SSU rRNA". It matches the Rfam family "Bacterial small subunit ribosomal RNA", at positions 340 to 785 of the family's 1533-position model. The record is from RNAcentral.